This is a long non-coding RNA of Notolabrus celidotus (New Zealand spotty), 672 nucleotides long. RefSeq lists it as uncharacterized. The record is from RefSeq and is a predicted model, not a curated record. Lineage: Eukaryota; Metazoa; Chordata; Actinopteri; Labriformes; Labridae. The transcript is spliced from 5 exons.
GCGAAGCCGUCAGGUUUGUCCUCUCUCCUCUUCCGUAGCUGCACAACGAGUGUUCCUGUAACGACCUUCUCAACCACGACCACCAGGGAAACUGCAGCCAAGGCGGACUGGCGAAUGGGGCCCUCAGCUCGGCAUCAUGCAUUCCAAAUGUCACUGGAGCCACAGGCAGUGUUUGCUGGUACAUGAACAAUCAGACAUGCGUUGGGACAACAGUUCUCAGAUAUCAGGAUGACUGCCCUCCCUAAGAUGGUGGUUUUGUAACGGCAGAGGAUCAGGCUGCAGCUCUGAUGGACCAGAUAAACCUGUGGAGCAGCAGCAGUGAUUUGUGGCAGAGGACCAAAUUCAUGAGGAAGACAUCUGGAGCCUUCAAACAUGUGCCUUUAAGAACUGGCUGAAGACAUUUUCAAUCUCAACACCUUGAGUGCAUUAUUAUGAUAUUUUGUAAAUAUUGAAUAUUUCAAUUUUAAGAAACGUCUCCUGUUUUUUUUGCUGUUGCCACUUAAUGCGUAUUCUGUCUUUAUUAUUAUUAUUUUUUGUGUUUUGUAUCAAUAUACCUGCCCUUUUUUGCAUUUACAAUGUAUUGUUUCAUAUUCUGUGAAACAUCUUGUUUUCCUGUUUCUCAAAGGAACUAUUGAAUUGAUUUUCUCCAAUAAAGUGGCAAUUCAGCUGUAA